UGGGGAAUUUUGGACAAUGGGGGAAACCCUGAUCCAGCCAUGCCGCGUGCGGGAAGAAGGCCUUCGGGUUGUAAACCGCUUUUGGCAGGAACGAAACGGCGUGCGCCAAUACCGCGCGCUAAUGACGGUACCUGCAGAAUAAGCACCGGCUAACUACGUGCCAGCAGCCGCGGUAAUACGUAGGGUGCAAGCGUUAAUCGGAAUUACUGGGCGUAAAGCGUACGCAGGCGGCUGUGCAAGACAGGUGUGAAAUCCCCGGGCUCAACCUGGGAACUGCAUUUGUGACUGCAUAGCUAGAGUCCGUAAGAGGGGGGUGGAAUUCCACGUGUAGCAGUGAAAUGCGUAGAGAUGUGGAGGAACACCGAUGGCGAAGGCAGCCCCCUGGGAUGAGACUGACGCUCAGGUACGAAAGCGUGGGGAGCAA
This 424-nucleotide ribosomal RNA is filed under the name uncultured bacterium. RNAcentral describes it as "bacterial SSU rRNA". It matches the Rfam family "Bacterial small subunit ribosomal RNA", at positions 355 to 771 of the family's 1533-position model. The record is from RNAcentral.